Molecule: ribosomal RNA, 1328 nt
Filed under: Lactiplantibacillus plantarum
Lineage: Bacteria; Bacillati; Bacillota; Bacilli; Lactobacillales; Lactobacillaceae
Description: bacterial SSU rRNA
Rfam family: Bacterial small subunit ribosomal RNA
Source: RNAcentral
AGUUUGAUCAUGGCUCAGGACGAACGCUGGCGGCGUGCCUAAUACAUGCAAGUCGAACGAACUCUGGUAUUGAUUGGUGCUUGCAUCAUGAUUUACAUUUGAGUGAGUGGCGAACUGGUGAGUAACACGGGAAACCUGCCCAGAAGCGGGGGAUAACACCUGGAAACAUGCUAAUACCGCAUAACAACUUGCCGCAUGGUCCGAGUUUGAAAGAUGGCUUCGGCUAUCACUUUUGGAUGGUCCCGCGGCGUAUUAGCUAGAGNGGUAACGGCUCACCAUGGCAAUGAUACGUAGCCUGAGAGGGUAAUCGGCCACAUUGGGACUGAGACACGGCCCAAACUCCUACGGGAGGCAGCAGUAGGGAAUCUUCCACAAUGGACGAAAGUCUGAUGGAGCAACGCCGCGUGAGUGAAGAAGGGGUUUGCUCGUAAAACUUCUGUUGUUAAAGAAGAACAUAUCUGAGAGUAACUGUUUCGUAUUGACGGUAUUUAACCAGAAAGCCACGGGCUAACUACGUGCCAGCAGCCGCGGUAAUACGUAGGUGGCAAGCGUUGUCCGGAAAUGGGCGUAAAGCGAGCGCAGGCGGGUUUUUUCUGAUGUGAAAGCCUUCGGCUCAACCGAAGAAGUGCAUCGGAAACUGGAACUUGAGUGCAGAAGAGGACAGUGGAACUCCAUGUGUAGCGGUGAAAUGCAGAUAUAGAAGAACACCAGUGGCGAAGGGCUGUCUGGUCUGUAACUGACGCUGGCUCGAAAGUAUGGGUAGCAAACAGGAGAUACCCUGGUAGUCCAUACCGUAAACGAUGAAUGCUAAGUGUUGGAGGGUUUCCGCCCUAGUGCUGCAGCUAACGCAUUACAUUCCGCCUGGGGUACGGCCGCAAGGCUGAAACUCAAAGGAAUUGAGGGGCCCGCACAAGCGGUGGAGCAUGUGGUUUAAUUCGAAGCUACGCGAAGAACCUUACCAGGUCUUGACAUACUAUGCAAAUCUAAGAGAUUAGGUUCCCUUCGGGGACAUGGACAGGUGGUGCAUGGUUGUCGUCAGCUCGUGUCGUGAGAUGUUUUAAGUCCCGCAACGCGCAACCCUUAUUAUCAGUUGCCAGCAUUAAGUUGGGCACUCUGGUGAGACUGCCGGUGACAAACCGGAGGAAGGUGGGGAUGACGUCAAAUCAUCAUGCCCCUUAUGACCUGGGCUACACACGUGCUACAAUGGAUGGUAACGAGUUGCGAACUCGCGAGAGUAAGCUAAUCUCUUAAAGCCAUUCUUUCGGAUUGUAGGCUGCAACUCGCCUACAUGAAGUCGGAAUCGCUAGUAAUCGCGGAUCAGCANUGCC